RNAcentral lists this long non-coding RNA (829 nucleotides) under Medicago truncatula (barrel medic). RNAcentral's name for it is "long non-coding RNA (MTRU_LNC005669)". Lineage: Eukaryota; Viridiplantae; Streptophyta; Magnoliopsida; Fabales; Fabaceae. The record is from RNAcentral.
GAGAAUAUCCAUAAAAUAUGCUAUAUAAUUGUGUAAACAUUUUUUACACUUACCAAGGUUUAUCUUAUUUUUCUUUCUUCAGAAUCUACCGUAACUAUGGCUUUUGACAGUGAAUAAUUCUAUCAUGAUACACCCACAGUUUUGGCCAUUUUUGGACCAUCUAUGAAACUAUGUUUUGGUUUUAAGAUUAAGCAUAAUUUUUCCUUAGUUCGAAGUUCUCGAUGUCCCAAAUCAUUUUCUUUCGAGGGUAAGAUGAUUCCACUUGACCAAUAAAAACAUUGAUAAAGCAUAUCUUUUACUAAAAUAAUUUCCAUUAUUUUUGAAGGUUUCUUUAAUUUGACAUUACAAUACAUUCAUAUUCUCUCCCUUUUUCUUUCUUAUCACAACAAUAUUCCAUUUUUCACUUUCUUUACCCUCAUAUAUUCUCUAUAUAUUCUAAGUGUCUAUGUAGGUAUGGAGGGUGAAAAAUAUGCCAACAUAAUCAUGGAGUAAGGUGGAAAAAUAAAGUGGCGCUCUUCAAGGAAAAGGGAUGUCAUAUCUUUUUUUGUUAAGGAAAAGGGUUGCUUAUUCUUGCCAAGGAAAAAAAGGCAUCGAAUCACUUGCAAGCAAGGAAAGGAAGAUAAUUUUUGAUCUAUUAACCUAUUGGGGGUAAGUAAGGAUCAUAAGAGCAUUGAAUACUUGUGGCUAGCUAGGAGGUAAUGUUGUGCCCAAAUAAUGUGUAUUUUGGUGUGUGCACACCAAAUAUUGUUCCCAAAUUAUUGUGACCAUAUAAACAGUACUUUCUUUAUAGGAAAAGCUAAUAUGUCUCGUAAUAAUGACACAAAUUAAU